AUUGAACGCUGGCGGCAUGCCUUACACAUGCAAGUCGAGCGGCAGCGCGGGGGCAACCCUGGCGGCGAGCGGCGAACGGGUGAGUAAUACAUCGGAACGUGCCCAGUAGUGGGGGAUAACCUCUCGAAAGAGAGGCUAAUACCGCAUACGACCUACGGGUGAAAGCGGGGGACCGCAAGGCCUCGCGCUAUUGGAGCGGCCGAUGUCGGAUUAGCUAGUUGGCGGGGUAAAGGCCCACCAAGGCGACGAUCCGUAGCUGGUCUGAGAGGACGACCAGCCACACUGGAACUGAGACACGGUCCAGACUCCUACGGGAGGCAGCAGUGGGGAAUUUUGGACAAUGGGCGCAAGCCUGAUCCAGCCAUGCCGCGUGAGUGAAGAAGGCCCUCGGGUUGUAAAGCUCUUUCGGCGGGGACGAAACGGUCCGUGCCAACACCACGGACUAAUGACGGUACCCGCAGAAGAAGCACCGGCUAACUACGUGCCAGCAGCCGCGGUAAUACGUAGGGUG
This 511-nucleotide ribosomal RNA is filed under the name uncultured bacterium. RNAcentral describes it as "bacterial SSU rRNA". It matches the Rfam family "Bacterial small subunit ribosomal RNA", at positions 29 to 534 of the family's 1533-position model. The record is from RNAcentral.